Molecule: long non-coding RNA, 378 nt
Filed under: Zonotrichia albicollis (white-throated sparrow)
Lineage: Eukaryota; Metazoa; Chordata; Aves; Passeriformes; Passerellidae
Description: lncRNA (ENSZALG00000010899.1)
Source: RNAcentral
CCACCUCUGCUUUCUGCAACUCUGAUCCCUCUUUGCUCUACAGCUCUCCGUCAUACUUCUUUCAAGGUCUUCAGGGCUUCAGCUGCCCCAGAAAGAGGAACAAAAAAGCACACUGAAAACAUUGAAAGAGAGGACUGGAGGAGAAAGAUGAAAGGAGAUGAGUAGGUGUGGGAAAAAGAGACAGAACAAGCACAGCUGUAGAGUCAGAACAGACUACAUAUUUAUUUUCUUUAAAAAGGCAUGUAAAGCUCCUCUGGGAAAGCACUGUCCACUGCCCAAGACAGCAUGCUAGAGUAGAUGGAGUGACAGCCUAAUGCAUUUAAACAACAUCUAGGUGCAAGUGAAAUAAAAUGGAGGCAACCUUUUCCUUCUUGUGCA